CCAAACAUGGAGUGAGAAGCAAAAAACAAAAGAAAGGAAGACGGCGACGCCUUGGCUAAACAAGGCUGCACCUGCUCUGCCAAGCAACAUGGAGAGGGCCUGAGGCAGCCAGCUGCCCGCUGUCUGCACACCCCACAUGAUGAAUUUUGACUGCAGGUUUACAGGAUUCCCUGAGCUGCCUUCUGAAACUCUGGCUGCCACCUCCUAGGUGCUGUCACCAGGCCCAGCUUCUCCUAACCACUUGUUUGCAGGCCUGAGAGCUAUGGACUAAUGCUGCACCUGAGCUAUCUAGCUGGGCCUGGAGCAUGGGCCUGUGGUCACGGCUGUUUGGGAGGUUGAGGCAAAGGAUGAAAAAGUCAAGCCCACUUGACUACAGAGUGAGUUCAAGGCCAGACAGUGCUGUUUCGUGAGGCCUGGCAAAGAGGGCUGCUGAUGGAGUGUAGUGGUCAAGGACCCACUUAGUGGGUUCAGUUCUCGGUGUAGUUUAAAAAAUAGGUAAACAAAUAAAGAUACAA
Molecule: long non-coding RNA, 515 nt
Organism: Mesocricetus auratus (golden hamster)
Lineage: Eukaryota; Metazoa; Chordata; Mammalia; Rodentia; Cricetidae
Exons: 3
Source: RefSeq, a predicted model, not a curated record